Molecule: transfer RNA, 59 nt
Filed under: Ailurus fulgens (lesser panda)
Lineage: Eukaryota; Metazoa; Chordata; Mammalia; Carnivora; Ailuridae
Also listed under: 1 other name
Description: transfer RNA-Ser (AGY)
Source: RNAcentral
GAAAAAGAAUGUAAGAACUGCUAACUCAUGCACCCAUGCAUAAAAGCAUGGCUUUUUCA